AAUAUUGGACAAUGGGGGCAACCCUGAUUCAGCCAUGCCGCGUGUGUGAAGAAGGCCUUCGGAUUGUAAAGCACUUUAAGUUGGGAGGAAGGGCUUUAGGCUAAUACCCUGAAGUUUUGACGUUACCAACAGAAUAAGCACCGGCUAACUACGUGCCAGCAGCCGCGGAAAUACAGAGGGUGCAAUCGUUAAUCGGAAUUACUGGGCGUAAAGCACGCGUAGGUGGUUCAGUAAUAGGGGUGUGAAAUCCACGGGCUUAACCUGGGAACUGCUUUCAUAACUGCUGAGCUAGAGUACGGUAGAGGGUAGUGGAAUUUCCUGUGUAGCGGUGAAAUGCGUAGAUAUAGGAAGGAACACCAGUGGCGAAGGCGACUACCUGGACUGAUACUGAAACUGAGGUGCGAAAGCGUGGGGAGCAAAC
Molecule: ribosomal RNA, 421 nt
Filed under: uncultured bacterium
Lineage: Bacteria
Description: partial 16S ribosomal RNA
Rfam family: Bacterial small subunit ribosomal RNA
Source: RNAcentral